AGCUUUGUGCAGUGGCAGUAUCGUAGCUAAUGAGGUGUAUCCGAGGCGCGAUUAUUGCUAACUGAAACAAAUUGUAAUAUUCUAUGUAUGACUAGACUACAGUUUAUAAAUCUGUUUAUCAAUA
Molecule: small nuclear RNA, 124 nt
Organism: Tupaia belangeri (northern tree shrew)
Lineage: Eukaryota; Metazoa; Chordata; Mammalia; Scandentia; Tupaiidae
Gene: U4
Rfam family: U4 spliceosomal RNA
About the family: U4 small nuclear RNA (U4 snRNA) is a component of the major U2-dependent spliceosome. The structure of U4 snRNA from yeast and human has been reported.
Source: Ensembl